AAAUUGAAGAGUUUGAUCAUGGCUCAGAUUGAACGCUGGCGGCAGGCCUAACACAUGCAAGUCGAACGGUAACAGGAAGCAGCUUGCUGUUUCGCUGACGAGUGGCGGACGGGUGAGUAAUGUCUGGGAAACUGCCUGAUGGAGGGGGAUAACUACUGGAAACGGUAGCUAAUACCGCAUAACGUCGCAAGACCAAAGAGGGGGACCUUCGGGCCUCUUGCCAUCGGAUGUGCCCAGAUGGGAUUAGCUUGUUGGUGGGGUAACGGCUCACCAAGGCGACGAUCCCUAGCUGGUCUGAGAGGAUGACCAGCCACACUGGAACUGAGACACGGUCCAGACUCCUACGGGAGGCAGCAGUGGGGAAUAUUGCACAAUGGGCGCAAGCCUGAUGCAGCCAUGCCGCGUGUAUGAAGAAGGCCUUCGGGUUGUAAAGUACUUUCAGCGGGGAGGAAGGGAGUAAAGUUAAUACCUUUGCUCAUUGACGUUACCCGCAGAAGAAGCACCGGCUAACUCCGUGCCAGCAGCCGCGGUAAUACGGAGGGUGCAAGCGUUAAUCGGAAUUACUGGGCGUAAAGCGCACGCAGGCGGUUUGUUAAGUCAGAUGUGAAAUCCCCGGGCUCAACCUGGGAACUGCAUCUGAUACUGGCAAGCUUGAGUCUCGUAGAGGGGGGUAGAAUUCCAGGUGUAGCGGUGAAAUGCGUAGAGAUCUGGAGGAAUACCGGUGGCGAAGGCGGCCCCCUGGACGAAGACUGACGCUCAGGUGCGAAAGCGUGGGGAGCAAACAGGAUUAGAUACCCUGGUAGUCCACGCCGUAAACGAUGUCGACUUGGAGGUUGUGCCCUUGAGGCGUGGCUUCCGGAGCUAACGCGUUAAGUCGACCGCCUGGGGAGUACGGCCGCAAGGUUAAAACUCAAAUGAAUUGACGGGGGCCCGCACAAGCGGUGGAGCAUGUGGUUUAAUUCGAUGCAACGCGAAGAACCUUACCUGGUCUUGACAUCCACAGAACUUUCCAGAGAUGGAUUGGUGCCUUCGGGAGCUGUGAGACAGGUGCUGCAUGGCUGUCGUCAGCUCGUGUUGUGAAAUGUUGGGUUAAGUCCCGCAACGAGCGCAACCCUUAUCCUUUGUUGCCAGCGGUCCGGCCGGGAACUCAAAGGAGACUGCCAGUGAUAAACUGGAGGAAGGUGGGGAUGACGUCAAGUCAUCAUGGCCCUUACGACCAGGGCUACACACGUGCUACAAUGGCGCAUACAAAGAGAAGCGACCUCGCGAGAGCAAGCGGACCUCAUAAAGUGCGUCGUAGUCCGGAUUGGAGUCUGCAACUCGACUCCAUGAAGUCGGAAUCGCUAGUAAUCGUGGAUCAGAAUGCCACGGUGAAUACGUUCCCGGGCCUUGUACACACCGCCCGUCACACCAUGGGAGUGGGUUGCAAAAGAAGUAGGUAGCUUAACCUUCGGGAGGGCGCUUACCACUUUGUGAUUCAUGACUGGGGUGAAGUCGUAACAAGGUAACCGUAGGGGAACCUGCGGUUGGAUCACCUCCUUACCUUAAAGAAGC
Molecule: ribosomal RNA, 1554 nt
Filed under: Escherichia coli
Lineage: Bacteria; Pseudomonadati; Pseudomonadota; Gammaproteobacteria; Enterobacterales; Enterobacteriaceae
Also listed under: 3 other names
Description: bacterial SSU rRNA
Rfam family: Bacterial small subunit ribosomal RNA
Source: RNAcentral